CCUACGGGAGGCAGCAGUAAGGAAUAUUGGUCAAUGGACGAAAGUCUGAACCAGCCAUGCCGCGUGAAGGAUUAAGGCCCUCUGGGUUGUAAACUUCUUUUAUCUGGGACGAAAAAAGGGUAUUCUUACUCACUUGACGGUACCAGAGGAAUAAGCACCGGCUAACUCCGUGCCAGCAGCCGCGGUAAUACGGAGGGUGCAAGCGUUAUCCGGAUUUACUGGGUUUAAAGGGUGCGUAGGUGGGCUUGUAAGUCAGUGGUGAAAUCUCCGGGCUUAACCCGGAAACUGCCAUUGAUACUAUAGGUCUUGAAUUAUCUGGAGGUAAGCGGAAUAUGUCAUGUAGCGGUGAAAUGCUUAGAUAUGACAUAGAACACCAAUUGCGAAGGCAGCUUACUACGGAUAUAUUGACACUGAGGCACGAAAGCGUGGGGAUCAAACAGGAUUAGAUACCCUGGUAGUCCACGCCCUAAACGAUGGAUACUCGACAUCAGCGAUACACUGUGUGUCUGNGNGAGNAUAUAUCCACCNGAGAGANCGCAGAUAGAACUACAAGAAGUAGAGCGNGAGAGNGACGAGACGACGACGAGGAGGAGG
Molecule: ribosomal RNA, 594 nt
Filed under: uncultured bacterium
Lineage: Bacteria
Description: bacterial SSU rRNA
Rfam family: Bacterial small subunit ribosomal RNA (bases 1-527)
Source: RNAcentral